UGGGGAAUAUUGCGCAAUGGGGGCAACCCUGACGCAGCAACGCCGCGUGAAGGAUGAAGGUUUUCGGAUUGUAAACUUCUUUUGUCAAGGACGAAGAAAGUGACGGUACUUGACGAAUAAGCCACGGCUAACUACGUGCCAGCAGCCGCGGUAAUACGUAGGUGGCAAGCGUUGUCCGGAUUUACUGGGUGUAAAGGGCGAGUAGGCGGGUUUGCAAGUCAGAUGUGAAAUACCGGGGCUUAACCCCGGGGCUGCAUUUGAAACUGUAGAUCUUGAGUGAUGGGGAGAGGCAGGCGGAAUUCCCGGUGUAGCGAUGGAAUGCGUAGAUAUCGGGAGGAACACCAGUGGCGAAGGCGGCCUGCUGGACAUUAACUGACGCUGAGGAGCGAAAGCGUGGGGAGCAAACAGGAUUAGAUACCC
RNAcentral lists this ribosomal RNA (420 nucleotides) under uncultured bacterium. RNAcentral's name for it is "bacterial SSU rRNA". It matches the Rfam family "Bacterial small subunit ribosomal RNA", at positions 355 to 787 of the family's 1533-position model. The record is from RNAcentral.